This 482-nucleotide ribosomal RNA is filed under the name uncultured bacterium. RNAcentral describes it as "partial 16S ribosomal RNA". It matches the Rfam family "Bacterial small subunit ribosomal RNA", at positions 30 to 507 of the family's 1533-position model. The record is from RNAcentral.
AUUGAACGCUGGCGGCAUGCUUUACACAUGCAAGUCGAACGGCAGCGCGGGGCAACCUGGCGGCGAGUGGCGAACGGGUGAGUAAUACAUCGGAACGUACCCAGAAGUGGGGGAUAACGUAGCGAAAGUUACGCUAAUACCGCAUACGUUCUACGGAAGAAAGUGGGGGACCUUCGGGCCUCAUGCUUUUGGAGCGGCCGAUGUCUGAUUAGCUAGUUGGUGAGGUAAAGGCUCACCAAGGCGACGAUCAGUAGCUGGUCUGAGAGGACGACCAGCCACACUGGGACUGAGACACGGCCCAGACUCCUACGGGAGGCAGCAGUGGGGAAUUUUGGACAAUGGGCGCAAGCCUGAUCCAGCAAUGCCGCGUGAGUGAAGAAGGCCUUCGGGUUGUAAAGCUCUUUUGUCAGGGAAGAAACGGCUGAGGAUAGUACCUUCGGCUAAUGACGGUACCUGAAGAAUAAGCACCGGCUAACUACGUG